This 85-nucleotide transfer RNA is filed under the name Alteromonadaceae bacterium. Its description in RNAcentral is "tRNA-OTHER". Lineage: Bacteria; Pseudomonadati; Pseudomonadota; Gammaproteobacteria; Alteromonadales; Alteromonadaceae. The record is from RNAcentral.
GCCCGGGUGGUGAAAUUGGUAGACACGCUAUCUUGAUGGGUGAUUAUCGAGAGCUUUGCCGUUUCGUGUCCGGCCCCGGGCACCA